This 433-nucleotide ribosomal RNA is filed under the name uncultured bacterium. RNAcentral's name for it is "partial 16S ribosomal RNA". It matches the Rfam family "Bacterial small subunit ribosomal RNA", at positions 29 to 507 of the family's 1533-position model. The record is from RNAcentral.
AACGAACGCUGGCGGCAUGCCUAACACAUGCAAGUCGAACGAGACCUUCGGGUCUAGUGGCGCACGGGUGCGUAACGCGUGGGAACCUGCCCUUAGGUUCGGAAUAACUCCCCGAAAGGGGUGCUAAUACCGGAUAAUGUCUUCGGACCAAAGAUUUAUCGCCUUUGGAUGGGCCCGCGUUGGAUUCGCUAGUUGGUAGGGUAAAAGCCUACCAAGGCGACGAUCCAUAGCUGGUCUGAGAGGAUGAUCAGCCACACUGGGACUGAGACACGGCCCAGACUCCUACGGGAGGCAGCAGUGGGGAAUAUUGGACAAUGGGCGAAAGCCUGAUCCAGCAAUGCCGCGUAAGUGAUGAAGGCCUUAGGGUUGUAAAGCUCUUUUACCCGGGAUGAUAAUGACAGUACCGGGAGAAUAAGCACCGGCUAACUCCGUG